CCCUUAGAUGUUCUGGGCCGCACGCGUGCUACACUGAGUGGAUCAGCGGGUCAGGUUGCGCGAAAGUGUUUCCUAAUCUUUAAAUCCGCUCGUGAUGGGGAUUGACGGUUGCAAUUUUCCGUCAUGAACGAGGAAUACCUUGUAAGCGCGGGUCAUCAUCCCGCGCUGAAUACGUCCCUGCCCUUUGUACACACCGCCGGUCGCUCCUACCGAUUGAGUGGUCCGGUGAGGCUUUGGGAUCUGAGCGGAAAGAGCGUUUCGCUGUUUCUGCCCGGAAAACUCAGUCGAACCUUAUCAUUUAGAGGAAGGAGAAGUCGUAACA
Molecule: ribosomal RNA, 322 nt
Filed under: uncultured eukaryote
Lineage: Eukaryota
Description: partial 18S ribosomal RNA
Rfam family: Eukaryotic small subunit ribosomal RNA
Source: RNAcentral